RNAcentral lists this ribosomal RNA (253 nucleotides) under uncultured bacterium. RNAcentral describes it as "partial 16S ribosomal RNA". It matches the Rfam family "Bacterial small subunit ribosomal RNA", at positions 524 to 776 of the family's 1533-position model. The record is from RNAcentral.
UACGUAGGGUGCGAGCGUUGCCCGGAUUUAUUGGGCGUAAAGGGCGCGUAGGCGGCUCGGCACGUCCGUUGUGAAAUCGCCCGGCUCAACUGGGCGGGGUCGGCGGAUACGGCCGAGCUGGAGCAAGCUAGGGGGUAAUGGAAUUCCCGGUGUAGUGGUGGAAUGCGUAGAGAUCCGGAGGAACACCAGCGGCGAAGGCGGCAUCCUGGACUGGUCCUGACACUCAUGAGCGAAAGCGUGGGGAGCGAUCCGG